Transfer RNA from Camelus ferus (Wild Bactrian camel), 71 nucleotides. It matches the Rfam family "tRNA". From Rfam's summary of the family: Transfer RNA (tRNA) molecules are approximately 80 nucleotides in length. Their secondary structure includes four short double-helical elements and three loops (D, anti-codon, and T loops). The record is from Rfam. NCBI's taxonomy places the organism in Eukaryota, Metazoa, Chordata, Mammalia, Artiodactyla, Camelidae.
GGGGGUAUAGCUUGUGGUAGGGCACGUGCUUGGUGUGUACAAGGUCCUGGGUUCAAUCCCCAGUGCCUCCA